GAAAAAGGAAACAGAUAGCCAAUCAAUGGUCUUACAUCUAACUCCAUAAAACAAAACAGGAAACCGAUAGCCAAUCAAUGGUCUUACAUCUAACUCCUCAAACAAACAACAAACAAACGGGAAACCGAAUGCCAAUAGAUGGACUUACAUCAAACUCCGAACAAGCAAACGCAAACAGGAAACGGAGUGCCAAUGGCUGGUCUUACAUCCGACUCCUAACACACACAACAGGGUGAAAAAAGAAAAGAGUGAAAAAGAAAAAGAGUGAAC
RNAcentral lists this long non-coding RNA (270 nucleotides) under Lathyrus oleraceus (garden pea). RNAcentral describes it as "Pisum sativum (pea) long non-coding RNA (PSAT_LNC032207)". The record is from RNAcentral. Lineage: Eukaryota; Viridiplantae; Streptophyta; Magnoliopsida; Fabales; Fabaceae.